Molecule: long non-coding RNA, 2533 nt
Organism: Sarcophilus harrisii (Tasmanian devil)
Lineage: Eukaryota; Metazoa; Chordata; Mammalia; Dasyuromorphia; Dasyuridae
Source: Ensembl
CCCAGACCCAUUUCUCAGAGCCAGAGUAAGAGAGGGAGUAAAGGAAGGACUUUGUUUCCCUCUCACCAAUUCAGUUCAUGGCUCUGGGUGAAUUAGAUUCGUCUCCCUCUGGAUGUAUCAGAAAUGCAGCAGAAAGAGCUCUUUAAAUAUAGUGUUAGAAAAGUUUGAAAUGUCAAUAAAUGUACAAGGAAACAUGAAAUAGAUUGUGGUAUUAUUCUCUUCUUUUUGUAAUCUACCAUACUUGUCAACUCCAAUGAAUGGAUUAGUGAGUAGACAAUUUGCUAAGUACUAUGCUAAAUUAGGCAAAUGACUUAUCACUUUGUAAGGAUUCCAACAAUAGAUGACAGUAAAACAAGCCAGAGAUACAAAACUUAAGUGGUCUAGGAGUAUGAACACAAGGUUGUCUAAUGGGGUCCUGGAGGGGAUGAAGCAUCUUCCAAACCAUAAAUUUCCCUUUCUUAAUCAGGUUGGAUGUGCAGUGGCUAUUCACAAGCUGGAUCCCACUGCCGAUUGACCUAAAAGUUUUGAUCUAUAAUGCUUUUCUGACCUGCCUCUCUUUAGACAGCUUUGUGAUCCCUUGUUCCCAAGUGCUCACUAUAUUGAUACAGAACAUGGUACAAAUAGUCAGCUUUAGAAUUACUACAACCCCAAAUUCUGGAGCUCAAGUGAUCCACACACCUCCACAAAUACUGGGAUAAGGGUUAUUCAUAACCGUGCCCCACCAAAUUGUCAUUCCUAAUCAUAGGUAUGACUAUAGUUUCAAGAACUCCCUAAUUCCUAUAGGAAAAGAACACAUGUAAGUUUUAGAUUUCAGCAGACUGAUAGUCAUAUGUAGCAAAGACAGAGACCAUGCUAUCUGCCCCUUCAUUUAUAAAUGGAAUGUUUCCAUACCUAAUGAGACCUAAAGCUUUGAGCAGCUCAAUUGCACAUGUAAAGGGAAGAAAAGAAAUUAAACUUUGCUCAGCUGCAAAGACCCAACCAGAAUUUCAGAAAUGUACAGGAUGGUCACCAUAAGUUCCCUUAUUUGGGAAACCUAGGUCUGAAGCAGAAUGUGGAAUAGGAGAGACUUAACCUUUCCCAUCCCCUGCCAGGAAGGUGAAAUACCUUAUACCCAUAGUCCUGAGAAAACAGAACUGGAAAAGCUUCUGCCAAUCAUAAACUGAGAUUUGUCCUCUCAGAGUAAAAUAAUACACCAGCAGAGGGAGCACAGUGGUUCCAACUGAGUUUAAGACUAGGGACUUAAGACUAAAUUUAGGGAGUCCAAGGGAUGGAUUAAUUACCACUUAGAGAUGCUCCAACUUGUAAGGAGACAGCCCAAAAGCUGAGUGACUUUCCUAGACUAGUUCAGCUCUUAGAUUAGCGCUUAAAAUUGAAGCAGCAUGCUCUGUGAAGGAACCCUGAGAAGUCAACCACAAGGUGUGCCCAUUGAACCUGAAUAAUCAGCUUCCCCUCCAGGGACUCAGCCUGCUGGUGUGGAUGUGAGCUGGGGUGGUAGUAUGCUAUAAGAGCUAAGUUUGACGUAAUGUUGUACAAUCUGGUUCUAGUCCCCCUUUCCAAAUUUAUUUCACAUGACUUUCUUUCAUGGAUUUUAUUUCCAAGACAAACUAGCUUAUUUUUUACUCCCUUAAUUUCAAAUUCUCUCUCUUAAAAGCUUAUGAAGCAGGGAGUCAUUUUAGUAGGUCUGGAGUCAGGAAUACAUGAGUUCAAAUCCAGACUCAAAUACUUAUUAGUUAUGUGUGAUCCUGCACAAGUCACUUAAUCUGUCUGACUCAGUUUCUUUCACUGUGAAAUGGGGAUAACAAUAGCACCUAUCUUAAGAGGUUAUUGUAAAGAUCAAAUGGGAUAUCUGUUAAUGACUUAACACAUUGCCUAGAACAGAGCAAGUGCUUAAUAAAAGGAUGCAUCACCCCCUCCCUUCUGUGUCCCAAGUUCUCUUACUGACUGAUAUACUCAGGGUGGUGGAUUGAAAGAACAGAUAGUACUUAUUAUUAGCAUUCCCUGGGCAUGGAGAGAUAGGGUAUUUUGAGUUGAAUUACAAGAUAUACUUUUUUCACUUCAAGUUAAACUAAUGCUCUAUGCUAUACAAUAACAAAUGAUUGAGUUAAUUACUGGGAAGGGAAAAACCCUUUCUCUGGUUUCUUCACCACACAAUGGAAACUACCUAAUACCCCUAAAGUUAGUAAGGGGGUGAAUUCCUGGCUUAGUAUCUAUUACACCACCCAAGGGACAAUCUUACCAUAAUUGAAAGUCUGUGGCUUGGGAGUGGAGAGAAUUCUAAGCAAUUAAAUCUGGAGUUGUGGCAAUGAUACUUAGAUCAGACAGUUAAUAUCCUCUGGAUUCACUGGAAGCAAGAGGCAAGAGGUGUUUUUUUCUUCUCUUUAUCAGGCAGGUUAUUAGUUAGCCAGGUAUCACGGUUUGUCUAGAGACAUUGGUCAAUACUGUAGCACCAGCUUAAUCCAUCACAAAAAUUGGUGGGGUAUUGGGCCUGGUAGGACCUGGCUGCUUGAAGAGAUUUUUCUUUAACCUGGGAAGU